This is a long non-coding RNA of Gossypium arboreum, 648 nucleotides long. RefSeq lists it as uncharacterized. The record is from RefSeq and is a predicted model, not a curated record. The transcript is spliced from 2 exons. NCBI's taxonomy places the organism in Eukaryota, Viridiplantae, Streptophyta, Magnoliopsida, Malvales, Malvaceae.
UCACAACUCAAAACUGAAAAGGGUCCAUUUUUUUUCUCUGGGUUAACCCAAGUUCCGGCCAAGAAGCCGACGGGCCUCAGUCGCAGCGCCGUUGCGGCUCUGCCGCAACUCCACCGUAACUGAUGGUCGGAGUCGCGUAAAAAUAGCCUCUUCGGUCCCUCUCAUCUCCUCUUUUGUAUAUUUUUUUUUUAAAAAAAAACUUACAUAUCCUAUAUUUAUUUUUAGAAAAUAAAAUAAAUAAACAAAAGGGGGAUUCUUCAUGCCUUUCGAACCCUCACUCGAACACAGAUGGGUCUGAUGUGUUCAUGCGCCGGCGAUGGUCAUCAGAGGAAGGCCGAUCGACUCAGGUCUAUGAAGGGUCAAUUGACGAGGGAGUUUCCAUUUCCGUGCAAGAAGAGUCGACCCUCGGGCAAGGUGCGCGCUGAGGCACGUGGGUGGUGGCUGCGGCGCGAGGGAGGCUCAGAAAUCCUAGGGUUUCUGAGUUGGUUUAAUGUUUUAGGCCUAUGCGUUGAUUUGGGUCUGUUUUGUUUGGGUUAGGGUAGGUUGGGUUUUAGGUUUUUAAGCCUGUUGAGCCAUUGUAAAAAUUGACUGUUUAUUAUUAUUAUUAUAUUUUAAUUUUGGUUUCCGGUUUAUGGAACCUGGGCUAAA